GUCGAGCGAGAAAGCCCGCAAGGGUGAGUAAAGCGGCGCACGGGUGCGUAACACGUGGGUAAUCUGCCCAGGAGUUCGGGAUAACUCGCCGAAAGGCGUGCUAAUACCGGAUAAGACCACGGGAGCCUCUGGCUCCUGCGGGAAAAGGUGGCCUCUGUACACAAGCUAUCAUUCCUGGAUGAGCCCGCGGCCCAUCAGAUCGUUGGCGGGGUAACGGCCCACCAAGGCUACGAUGGGUAGCUGGUCUGAGAGGACGAUCAGCCACACUGGAAAUGAGACACGGUCCAGACUCCUACGGGAGGCAGCAGUGGGAAUCUUGCGCAAUGGGCGUAAAGCCUGACGCAACAACGCCGCGUGUGUGAUGAAAGUCUUCGGAUCGUAAAGCACUGUCGCGAGGGACGAAUAAGGGCAGGGUGAACAAUCCUGUUCCAUGACGGUACCUCGAGAGGAAGCACCGGCUAGCUCUGUGCCAGCAGCCGCGGUAAUACAGAGGGUUCCAGCGUUGUUCGGAAUUAUUGCGCGUAAAGUGCGUGUAUGCGACUUUGCAAGUCAGGUGUGAAAGCCCUCGGCUUAUCCUAGGAAGUGCGCCUGAAACUGUGAUGCUUGAGUACCGGAGAGGGCUGGUGGAAUUCCCGGUGUAGAGGUGAAAUUCGUAGAUAUCGGGAGGAACACCUGUGGCGAAGGUGACCACGAGGACGGAUACUGACGGUGAGACGCGAAAGCGUGGGGAGCAAACAGGAUUAGAUACCCUGGUAGUCCACGCUGUAAACGAUGAGCGCUAGGUGUUGUGGGUGUUGACCCCCGCAGUACCGCAGCUAAUGC
This 822-nucleotide ribosomal RNA is filed under the name uncultured bacterium. RNAcentral's name for it is "bacterial SSU rRNA". It matches the Rfam family "Bacterial small subunit ribosomal RNA", at positions 61 to 858 of the family's 1533-position model. The record is from RNAcentral.